RNAcentral lists this unclassified non-coding RNA (622 nucleotides) under Hevea brasiliensis (rubber tree). The record is from RNAcentral. Lineage: Eukaryota; Viridiplantae; Streptophyta; Magnoliopsida; Malpighiales; Euphorbiaceae.
ACUCUAAGUUUACAAAUGAGUAUCGUUCAGUUAGAAAAGAUACAAAUCUUAUUAUGGGACAGUGGCAUGCAGCAGAUGAAUAUGAUGGUAAAGUGAGAGAGAUAACAUUCAGGUCUCUAUGUAAUAGUCCCAUGUGUCCCCCAGACACAGCUAUGACAGAAUAUCAGCAUUCUGUACUAUCACCAGAUAAGAAAAUGCUUGUGUUUGAAACAGUACAACAGGCCCAUGAUGUUCCCUUUGGAUCUUAUUUUGAGGUUCAUUGCCGGUGGAGAGUGGAGACCAAUGGUGAGAACUCCUCUACAAUAGAUAUAAAAGUGGGUGCACAAUUCAAGAAGUGGUGUGUGAUGCAAUCCAAAAUUAAGGCAGGAGCAAUCAAUGAAUAUAAGAAAGAGGUGGAGUUGAUGCUAGAAAUGGCACAGUCGCGUAUCAGAUCACUUUUUUACGGCAGCGAGGCUGACGAGGCUUCUUCCUCCCCCAUUGUAAUACAAGAUAGCAGCUGACAACCUCGGCAUUUUCAGUUGAGUUAUUCUUUCUUUGCUUAAAUGUUUUUAAAUUUUUGACAUGUAGAGCCAGCCUCCAUGUUCCUUUGUGACGGCAAUAGCCAAUAGGUGUAAAUCUUGUG